Long non-coding RNA from Tigriopus californicus, 801 nucleotides. RefSeq lists it as uncharacterized. The record is from RefSeq and is a predicted model, not a curated record. The transcript is spliced from 2 exons. NCBI's taxonomy places the organism in Eukaryota, Metazoa, Arthropoda, Copepoda, Harpacticoida, Harpacticidae.
GAUCAGGGGAAAGUUGUAGACCCGAAAGAAUCGUGAUUGUUUUGUUUUGCUUAGAGAAAGUAUCUAUAUUCUUUGAAGUGUUUGCACGUUAGAUUAGAACUUUUUAGUGGAACCAACUUCGGCGACCAAAUCCGAAGUUGCGACGCUUCCACCGAAAGAGACGUCGAAGGAAAAAGGGGCUAGCACUGCGCUUAUUUCGGAGGGUCUCGUCAGUUGGAGCAACACUCUCUUCAUCCUCACCCUCAAGUUCGGCCUUAAGGAACUCAUACAGCUCCACGAUCUUGUCUAAGGUCAAUGCUUUGUAUCGCCAAACUCAGGCCCAACAAAGUAACGAGAAUCAAAAUCUGAAACACCCAGAACAAACGGGAGAUGUUCUCAACACUUUUCUAACCAAUGAAAGACAAAACUUCUUACCUUUUGCAUGAUGCUGAUGAGUGUGUUGUUCUUGCAGAAAGGGCCCGACGAAAGCUCCGGCGUCGUCCAUUCGUUCUACGUUGAGUCUGGAUGUGAAAACGAUUUGACGGCCAAGCGCUGUGGGAAAGACUCUCCGACGCUUUACGAGUAGUUGGUAAAACCAGAUUUUUUGACCAAGACCACUCCCAUUGGCAAGACCCUCAGCACAUUGGUUAGUCUGAAAGUCAUCUAAUCCUGAUGCUUCUGCGAGGACAUACAGUAUAUGAGAUGAUCUUUAGACAUGCAAUGGGUGUCUUGGCUUUAUCAAAUGGAAAAAAGUAAAAGUCAGUAACAUUCUGUCCAUUUUCAUAAAUUCUAUGCGUUUUCAUACAUUUUAUCCUUUUACAA